AAGUUCUUAUCUACAUGACUUGUGUGUAGGACUUAUUUGAUUGUUACACCUUAAAUGGAAUGACUGUUUCAUAAAACAUGGCCAGAAAGCAGGUGCUCUUGAAGUAAAUGAUUUCUCAACAACCUCAGUGUGAAGUGGAACAGAAAGGAGUGUUUGUUGAAUCUGUGCCAUGUGACGGACACUGUACUAACUGUUUGACAUUUCAUUUCUAUGUAUAGGGGCCCUUGCAGGGGUGUUCCUUUGCGAGGGGGAUGAGGGAAAGAAAGGGAAGAGGCUCAGAUGAUUUCACCUGCUGGGCUGCUACAGAGAUCAGUCUGGUCGUCCAGUACACCAGUCAGAAGGUGGAGAUCUUGUUCAUGUUUCUGGUACAAUUUUUCCCUCUAGCUUGACUGCCUUGUUUCUAGAAUAUCUGCUAGGGUACUUCUUAACUGUAUAUUUUAUAUUUCCUCCUUUUGAACUUUGUCCUUCAGCCUCCGUUGGUGUUUACAGUGCUUGCUAUCACUUGGUUGCAAAUGGUACUUUGUUUGCAGAUCAUAUUUAUGCAGUGUGUUUUAGUUCCAAUUUUUUUUAACUUAAAAACUUCAGAUAAUCCAAGGACAGUGCACUUGUUAUGCAGAGUUCCAGUCAAUAAAAUUUAAGUAGGAACUAUUUAUAACUAUAAAGACCUUGGGAGGACCAUUCGUCUCUUAAGUUCCUUAGUGAAAUAAGCUGUAAACCUGUAAAACUCAUCCCCCAAGACUAAACACUAGUUCAGCAGGAUGUGGGUUUUGCAGUCAGUGUAGUUAGGUGACUUUGUGGUCAAUUCUGGUUGCACAGAAGUCAAGGCCGCUCCAGGUUGAUCACAUCAUUAGAUCAGCUGCAGAAGUAUCUCAUGGCCUAGAUUUUAGGUGAUACCGAUGGAAUCAUAUGAUAUUUGUCUUUUUUGUGUCUGGCUUAUUUAUUUCACUUAGCAUAAACUUUUCAAGGUUUAUCCAUAUUGUGGCAUAUAUCAGAAUUUCACCCCAUUGUAUGGAUAUACCACAUUUUGUUUCCAUUCAUCUGUUGAUAGACUCUUGGGUCAUUUCUACCUUUUGGCUGUUGUGAAUGAUUCUUCAGUGAACCUUCAUUUACAAAUUGUUUGGGUCCCUGCUUUCAUUUAUUUGGGUGUAUGUAUAGGGAUGGAAUUGCUGGACAAUAUGGUAAUUUUACGUUUAACUCUUUGAGGUAGGAUUGGGUUUCAGUUGCGUUAAUUUCAAAGACUCAGAGUAAAAUGCCAUCUCACUGGAAAUCAAGCUGUGGGGUCAAUGUUUGUUAACAGACCUAUAAGUGAUCCCUCGAUAUCUCACUUAGGCCUUUUACUCUCUAACCUAGAAUAUUUAUUGAGUACAGACUAUGUCCUAUGCCCCAUUUUGGAAUAGAGACCAGAGAGAGAGUCUCCUAAUCCAGUGUAGGAUACAGACAGUUACUUCACAGUAUGCAAGUGCUAUCAUAAAGGAGAGCACUAUUGGGGCGCCUGAGUGACUCAGUUGGUUGAGCAUCCGACUUCAGCUCAGGUCAUGAUCUCACGGCUUGUGAGUUCAAGCCCUGCAUCGGGGUCUGUGCUGACAGCUCAGAGCCUGGAGCCUGCUUCAGAUUAUGUCUCUGUCUCUACCCCUCCCCCACUCAUGCUCUGUGUCUCUCUCAAGAAUAAAUAAACAUUAAAAAACAAAACAAAAAGGAGAGCGCUAUUAUGAGGGAGCCCAGAGAGAAGAGGAGUUGUGAAAUCUUUCCCAAAAGACUGAAGAUUCCCGACUAAAUCUUGAAGAAGGAGUAGGAGCUAGCUGGUUGAAGAAGGGGGGGUAAAAUUUCAGAGAAUUUCAGAGUAUGUCAUGUGCAAAGGCCCAGAGAGAUGAAAGCAUUGAGACAUUGAGAAAAUUAGAAUGGGUUAGUGAACUGAAAUACAGGAUGUUAGGGAAGGAGAUAUAGCAAGAUGGUGGUAGAGGAGGCGGCAAAGGGUAGAUCAGUAAAGUCUUUGUAAGUCAUAUGGAAGAUUCGGGUUUUAUUCUGAAAGUAAUACAGAGAUAGUGAAGGAUUUUUUUGUAAAGAAGUGAUGUAAUAAAAAACAUGUUCUGAGGGUACCUGGGUGGUUCACUCAGUUAAGCGUCCAACUCUUGAUUUUGGCUCAGGUCAUGAUCUCACCAUUGGUGAGAUCGAGCCUCACAUCAGGCUCUCUGCUGAGAGCUUGGGGACUGCUUGAGAUUCUCUCUCCCUCUCUAUCCCUUCCCCCACUCGUGUGUGUGUUCUCUCUCUCAAAUAAACAUUAAGUAUAUAUAUACAUAUAUAUAUACAUAUUUAACAUUUAUAUAUGUUCUGUAAGUCUAGGCAGUUAGGCAAAUCCCAACAUUCUCUCAUGAAAGGCUGCAGUAUGGCAGUAACAAUGGAAAUGGAGAAGAUGGAAUGGAUUCAGAGGGCAUUUAGGAGGUAGAAUCAGUAGGACUUCUUGCCUAAUGUAGAUGGCAAGGAAAAGCAAAGAAUGCAGGAUGAUUGCUAGAUCUCUUGAGUUGACCAGCCUCAUUUACUGAGAGUAAAUUCAAGAUGUGGAGGGGUUUAGUUUGGGUGGAGGCAAGGAGGCAAGACAAAGCAAGAUGAAUGAUGAGUUAAUUUUGUUUUGAGUUUAAGGUGCCAAUGGACUAGCCAGAUGGAGAUGUGAGUCUGGAUGGAGCUUAGAAGAAAUAUAUGAACUGGAGAUCGAUGCUUGGGAGCUGUCAGCAUACGUAAUGGUAACUGAGGGCGUGAGAAAUGAGAACACAAUAUAGAAGUGUCACUUCGGGGCAGGUGCAGCACAAAAGCUUGGGAAAGAGACAAGCAAUGGCCAGGAGGGGUGAGUGGAUACACAAAGAGUAGGGACUCAUGGAAGCCUAGAGGAGAGUUUCAAAAAGUCAGAUUUCACACAAAAACAAAGCAACUCAUGUCUUAAGGCAUUGAUAUUCAAACUGUGUUGAAACCCUUUGUUAACAUUUAACUUUUAAAUAUAUUUUAACUGAAAAAAAGUAAAAACUGACCAACUCAAAUAUGUCGCUUAUAACAUGUUAAAACAUGGAAAUCCAGCAGACGUCAGUACCAGGUUAACUGUUUUUGUGCAGAGGCCACAGUAAGGCCAUCUCGAUACAUUGAAGAGCAUCUUUAUAUUUCAAGGUGAGUUAUUAAAUAACUCCAUUUCCUAGUGUGAAUUAGGACUUUUUUGAUACUUUGCAACUGAAACAAAUACAGAAAUAGGGUCUACUAAGCUCACGUCACUGUUCCAUAAACCCAGUCUCAAAUGCUUGUUGUUUAUGAAAAUAAUUUCACCUUUCUUACUGACUUAUUGAUUAAAUUAAAUGUCAUGCAGCACCUUUUCUGUUAUUGUGUUGGUUUUCCAUGUAGCUGUCGUUUCCAAAAGGUGGUUGCGAUAGAGGGCCACAGAUAAAAGGAGGUAGACACUUUCCUAGUAGAACUUGGCUUAUUUUUCUGUGACUCCCUUGCCUCUCCUCAAAGUCAAGUUCUAGGGGCUGAAAUGUAUUUCCUGCAUCUUGUUUAACGUAUUAUUUGGAUGCUUAACUCAUUACUAGGAACAGGUGAUUUUGUGUUUACAUUGCUUUGGGAAGUUUAGAGAGUUAAUACUUAUGUUAUCUUAAAUGACCUUUAUUCUUUUUUUUCAUACUGAUUCGUAAGUAACUGUAUACAGAUUAUUUCCGGUAGACACGAUCUUAAACAAUGACAACAACAACACUCUGUGUAUUUGGUUUCAGACUGUGGUAUGGUGUUUGACUUUUAUUUCUGGUUUAAGUUAAAAUUAGCUUGAAUUCCUUGACUAGACACAGCUUGCACUACCUGGGCAACAAAUGAGCAUGUUAGACAUUCCAGGAAGAAAAGAGGAGCUACUGUUUUUCACAUACGGCUCCAAGUGAUCCAUAAGAUUUGCAAAUCAUUUGUGCAUUGUGAAAUAAAUUCUAACUUUUAAACCAUUUUUGUUCAUAUUUUUCUAUUUACUGAUUAAUCUUGGUCCCCUUUAGCAGAACGCUUAUUUUAGAGUAUACUCUGCAUUGAAAUCCCAUGGUAUAUUUCAAGGUAUAAAGCAUAAAACUUCAUGGUCUGUGGCACAUGGCCAUCUCACAACAGUCAACGACAGAUUUUCACAACAAUGUCAUGACCUAAAUGUUACUGUUCUCCCCACUUUGUAGAUUUUACAGAGCCUGAGAUUCUGCAACAUUAAGUGAUUGGCCAAGUCCAGAGGCCACCAAGGAGUAGAAUACAGGCCCUGUACCUGCUAACCCUGUACCCAUCCCACUCCAUCACGCCCAAACUAUGAACUGCAGACCUUUUUUAAAACGACAGGUAAGAGCAAACAAAAACUGGAAAUGAUGCCAGAAGAGGAACUGAAUAUGAGAGAGACUCAAGAGAUUCCCCAGAAUAGAAGUUGCAGAAUUUGGCAGAAUGAUUAGGGUGGACACUUCAGGAAGAAGACUUCGGGUUGUUAGAGAGAAGCUCCCCCACCCCCUAAGCUGAAGAAGAAGCAUCCACACGCCCUGCUUCCACCUGGGGACUCCCAGAUUGCCACACAAUAGCACCUCCUAGAGGUGUCGGCAGUGGUGAGACCCGCCCUUCCCAGAGAGACUGUUUUCUGUGCCACUUUGUCUUGCCCUGGUGGUCACGCUGUGUUGUGGCUGCAGCGAAAACCUUUUGUGUGUCAGACAUGAUGGGCAGCGUGGACAAGUCACACUGGUGCCCAACACCUCCCACCACUGAGCACUGUGAGGGCAGAGACUUGGUCGUCUUUGCAACCUAUCUCUACCCCCUCACGUUGAGGAUACCUGUAUACCCACAAGGACAUACCAUCAGCGUGUGGUAAAUCUUGCUGAAUGACAGACAAAGUGACAUGUUGAGCAAGCAGAUGAUGAAAGUUUCUGACCUUAAAUGUGGACUAAUCAGAUAAGUGUACUAGUGAUACAAGAAAUCACGGAAGACUCUGUGGGAGAAGAACUGAAACUUCUUCUAGAAAAUCCAUUAAUGACCAGAAUAGAUCUCUGGCUUUUUUCAUGUGCGUUAGAUAACAACCAUGGAGAAUUGAGAUUCCUCCAUUGUGGCUUCUGCCUUUCCUGCUCCACCAAAAUCGCUCUCUCCAAGCUAACCAGGAACCUCCAGCUUGCCACACCGGGGGGCAUUUCUGCCUCUUCUUACUGGCACGCUCCUCACAGGACCAGCUAAGCAUCCUUCUCUUGUACAUGAAAGAAAAUCCAACUGAUUGUAGCAAGAAGAGUAAGUUUCUUGUACUAUUUUUCAUUUUUAAAAGACUAUUUUUUUUUCAUGGUUAUUUAUUUUGAGACAGAGAGAAAGCAUGAGCAGAAGACAGGCAGAGAGAGAGAGAGGGAGA
Long non-coding RNA from Acinonyx jubatus (cheetah), 5368 nucleotides. RefSeq lists it as uncharacterized. NCBI's taxonomy places the organism in Eukaryota, Metazoa, Chordata, Mammalia, Carnivora, Felidae. The record is from RefSeq and is a predicted model, not a curated record. The transcript has 4 exons.